GUGAUCUACCUCGCACUCUGGGAUAAGCCUGGGAAACUGGGUCUAAUACCGGAUACGACCAGUCCUCGCAUGGGGGUUGGUGGAAAGGUUUACUGGUGCGAGAUGGGCCCGCGGCCUAUCAGCUUGUUGGUGGGGUAACGGCCUACCAAGGCGACGACGGGUAGCCGACCUGAGAGGGUGACCGGCCACACUGGGACUGAGACACGGCCCAGACUCCUACGGGAGGCAGCAGUGGGGAAUAUUGCACAAUGGGCGAAAGCCUGAUGCAGCGACGCCGCGUGAGGGAUGACGGCCUUCGGGUUGUAAACCUCUUUCGACAGGGACGAAGCGCAAGUGACGGUACCUGUAGAAGAAGCACCGGCUAACUACGUGCCAGCAGCCGCGGUAAUACGUAGGGUGCGAGCGUUGUCCGGAAUUACUGGGCGUAAAGAGCUUGUAGGCGGUUCGUCGCGUCGGUCGUGAAAACGUGCAGCUCAACUGUGCGCCUGCGGUCGAUACGGGCGGACUAGAGUACUUCAGGGGAGACUGGAAUUCCUGGUGUAGCGGUGAAAUGCGCAGAUAUCAGGAGGAACACCGGUGGCGAAGGCGGGUCUCUGGGAAGUAACUGACGCUGAGAAGCGAAAGCAUGGGUAGCGAACAGGAUUAGAUACCCUGGUAGUCCAUGCCGUAAACGGUGGGUACUAGGUGUGGGUUUCCUUCC
Molecule: ribosomal RNA, 700 nt
Filed under: Nocardia uniformis
Lineage: Bacteria; Bacillati; Actinomycetota; Actinomycetes; Mycobacteriales; Nocardiaceae
Description: bacterial SSU rRNA
Rfam family: Bacterial small subunit ribosomal RNA
Source: RNAcentral